CGUGAGCCGAGUGCGCCGAGCUCUGGGGCGGCCCUCUCUCCUGGUGAGAUUUGGCGUCCUUUUCCUCCCUCCUCGCUGUGUCUGACGGAGCCCAGGUUGGCACUUUAGCUUCGGCACGGGUAGCCAGUCAAUCCCAAGAUAUGUGAACGAGCCCAUCCAGGAUCAGAAAGUUAUGUAGCUGACCUACAGCUGAGUGCGGACACGCAAGCAAGCCCAGCCUGAAGCCCUGAACCACCAUGUAAAGUGAUCCAGCUACUUUGGGAAGAGCAUAGAAAGAGAUACAACCUUCCAGCCCUAACUGUUCCAGUCAUCCCAACAGAGUGAAGCUCUCUUGUACAUUCAAACCCCAGCUGUUCCAGCAGUACAAUUGAACCCAGCUUCCAAUAGACCCAUCAGCUGAAUACAGCAAUGACAGUGAUCCUGGUUGACGCCACAUGGAGAAGAAAAAUUACUCAGCUGAACUGUAUCUGAAUCCUUGAGUGAAUGUGAUGGUUGCUGCUCUAAGGCACUAAUUUGAGCAGUUUGUUAGGUAGCAAUAGAUAAUAUGGUGUACACUGAGUAAAACAACCAGUAGUCUCGGCCUCUACAAGUCAGUAAUCUAUAUUUGCUCCUGAUUUAAAUUCUACUAAAAUGGCAGUAAGCCAAUGGAUACAGUUUGUGUAUUGGAACAAUAAGAGUCCGCUUCACCAUCCAAAUAGCUGUAUAUAUAUGAGUAGUGAGGAAAAAGCCAAAACGCUGAACCCAAAGACACCCUAGAACUUAAGUUUUGCAUUUGAGUAAAAUGGUCCUUAACUGGAUUAAACUCAAGUCUUACACAGUCCACAUGGUGGAGAGGAAAAAAGACAUGGCUAUAAAAUAGUCUAGUUUUUGAUGCUGAAAUGGUGGAAGGUCAGUAUUACAAUUUUCCUUUAUUUUUUUUCAAAAAGAGAAAAAUGUGUAUUAUUAACUAACAUAGGAUGCAGAGAAACUUCUCCAGACAAAAAUACAAUUCUGAUGAUUUGGGAAUGUGAGCCUUCUAUCCUUUUUAUUCUGAUGAGAUCCUACACAAUCUUAUAUUCUUAACUGUGAUGGUAGUGGGUCAUUGUCAUUGUCAUUGCUGUCAUCAACAUCAUUAUCAUUGUCACCAUCAUCAUCACCAUGUAUUUCAAUAAGGAGGAGCUGAGUAUGAGGCAAUGCACUCAAAGGGAAAUAAUGAGGAUACAGAGAGCGUGAUAUAGGAAGUAGAGAGGAGGCACAGGAAGGAAAAGAAUGAUAAGAACUCUUGGUAAAGAUUCAGAGAGAUAAGGGGAGUAAGGAUCAUAAAAAUAUGAUGGUAUGUAAUUUGCAAAGCAAUUUGCUAUUCAUGGAGAACAUUAAUGUGUAUAAUACAAUUUAAUCUUUUUAACAUUUGAUAAUGGUGUUUUAUUGUAUGUGUUAUAUGGAUGAGGAGAUACAGAUGGGCUAAAAUAAUACAACUUAAUAAUUAAUAUUUUCUAGUAAAAAUAUUUAAUGAAUGCACACUUGUGCCAGUCAUUAUGCUAAGUGCUAGAUAUUUAAUUGUUAACAAAACAGACUAUCCAUGUCAUAACUUAAAGACUAGUGGAAAAAAGCAUUCAACUAAUCACAAAAAGAACUGUAAAAUUACAAAAAAUUCAAGGAACAGAAUCCUAGGGAAACAGAAUAAAAGAUAUUGAUCUAUUCAAAUAAUUCUGACUAUAGAUUUUUAGACAGACCAAUUUAGACAAUGCAUAGAUAUCUUGCUUGAAUCUGUCUUAUGACUAUAUUUCAUGCACAUGCCUCUUAUACUUUAAAUAAA
This is a long non-coding RNA of Talpa occidentalis (Iberian mole), 1795 nucleotides long. RefSeq lists it as uncharacterized. The transcript is spliced from 3 exons. The record is from RefSeq and is a predicted model, not a curated record. NCBI's taxonomy places the organism in Eukaryota, Metazoa, Chordata, Mammalia, Eulipotyphla, Talpidae.